CCAAAAUCCACACAAACCAUAUAGAUAUGAACUUACAAAACUCAUACAGGAUGUGUAUGAACUCACACACACCGCCUCCAGAAGGUCUGUGUGUGGGUAUGUGGUAACAAUGGUCUGUGGGUUACUGCCGGCAGCUUUACCUCGUCAUCCACAUAAACCUUUAAUAUGAGACCUUUAAGCUGCAAUCCGGCAUCUGAAGUCACUGCACCCUGUAAUUGACCUUAAAAUACUUUCUGAAGAGGUCGGAGGCAAUGUCAUUGGCCAAAGGCCCAUGCAGUGGCUGCCCUGCCAAAGCCCAGAGGAGCCUGGGAAGGCAUCGGAGAGUAUAUUUAGUGCCCUGUCUUUUGAAUGGGAACAAGAGACGUACAAAAAAUGCCAGUUUAUGCAUAAAACCGCUCGUGUUCUCUUGGAAUUGUCCCAUAUGGAGACACGCUUUCGUUUUUCCCAGGGUGCACCACGUCUGUAGAAUGAAAUUCAUCAAACGUGGCCUUGAGUUAUCAUAAGUCAAGCCUUCAUUUCAAUAGAAGACUAUUCAUUUCUCACGGGCACUGGAGGCAAAGGAAAGUUCCCUCAUAACAAGGAUGCCCUCAUUUGACUGGGUUAUAAUUACGCCUCAAGCGGGACAACAGGAAGAGUGAUGACAGAUAUGAUUUACUUGUAAAGAACUUUCUGAAAUCAUCUGGAAAAGGCCCAAAGGGGAAAAAUUCAAGAACAUCCCAAAGCAGUGCUGCAGGUUUUCCACGCUCCCCGGCGACAGUUUAAGCGGACCGGCACAUCCUUGCCCAGAUGGGCCGAAUACAGCUGUCUGCCCAUCCUUAAAGGACACAGAGUUCAACUCUAUAAUUUGGUUCAGAUGAGACUUUCUUUGGCUCAGGAUGAAAGGGAGGAGAAUGAUUGCGACCAAAAGAGAGAGAAAGAGAGAUGAACACUGGUCUUUUUGAAGGUUACACAACACAUCCUGUUCACCACCAUUACGGCUCUCUUCAAAAUACUCUAACUGUGAUUAUGCUAAAAUCUCAGCUGACAGCUCACAUCAUGUCAUCGUGCAUCAACGUUAAGCAGCUUAAACGCAGUCAUGUUUUACACCUUAUCACUUUGCAAUGCAUCCUUG
Cyprinus carpio carpio is the source of this 1111-nucleotide long non-coding RNA. The record is from Ensembl. NCBI's taxonomy places the organism in Eukaryota, Metazoa, Chordata, Actinopteri, Cypriniformes, Cyprinidae.